GGGUUGUGAGGUUAAGCGACUAAGCGUACACGGUGGAUGCCCUGGCAGUCAGAGGCGAUGAAGGACGUGCUAAUCUGCGAUAAGCGUCGGUAAGGUGAUAUGAACCGUUAUAACCGGCGAUUUCCGAAUGGGGAAACCCAGUGUGUUUCGACACACUAUCAUUAACUGAAUCCAUAGGUUAAUGAGGCGAACCGGGGGAACUGAAACAUCUAAGUACCCCGAGGAAAAGAAAUCAACCGAGAUUCCCCCAGUAGCGGCGAGCGAACGGGGAGCAGCCCAGAGCCUGAAUCAGUGUGUGUGUUAGUGGAAGCGUCUGGAAAGGCGCGCGAUACAGGGUGACAGCCCCGUACACAAAAAUGCACAUGCUGUGAGCUCGAUGAGUAGGGCGGGACACGUGGUAUCCUGUCUGAAUAUGGGGGGACCAUCCUCCAAGGCUAAAUACUCCUGACUGACCGAUAGUGAACCAGUACCGUGAGGGAAAGGCGAAAAGAACCCCGGCGAGGGGAGUGAAAAAGAACCUGAAACCGUGUACGUACAAGCAGUGGGAGCACGCUUAGGCGUGUGACUGCGUACCUUUUGUAUAAUGGGUCAGCGACUUAUAUUCUGUAGCAAGGUUAACCGAAUAGGGGAGCCGAAGGGAAACCGAGUCUUAACUGGGCGUUAAGUUGCAGGGUAUAGACCCGAAACCCGGUGAUCUAGCCAUGGGCAGGUUGAAGGUUGGGUAACACUAACUGGAGGACCGAACCGACUAAUGUUGAAAAAUUAGCGGAUGACUUGUGGCUGGGGGUGAAAGGCCAAUCAAACCGGGAGAUAGCUGGUUCUCCCCGAAAGCUAUUUAGGUAGCGCCUCGUGAAUUCAUCUCCGGGGGUAGAGCACUGUUUCGGCAAGGGGGUCAUCCCGACUUACCAACCCGAUGCAAACUGCGAAUACCGGAGAAUGUUAUCACGGGAGACACACGGCGGGUGCUAACGUCCGUCGUGAAGAGGGAAACAACCCAGACCGCCAGCUAAGGUCCCAAAGUCAUGGUUAAGUGGGAAACGAUGUGGGAAGGCCCAGACAGCCAGGAUGUUGGCUUAGAAGCAGCCAUCAUUUAAAGAAAGCGUAAUAGCUCACUGGUCGAGUCGGCCUGCGCGGAAGAUGUAACGGGGCUAAACCAUGCACCGAAGCUGCGGCAGCGACGCUUAUGCGUUGUUGGGUAGGGGAGCGUUCUGUAAGCCUGUGAAGGUGUGCUGUGAGGCAUGCUGGAGGUAUCAGAAGUGCGAAUGCUGACAUAAGUAACGAUAAAGCGGGUGAAAAGCCCGCUCGCCGGAAGACCAAGGGUUCCUGUCCAACGUUAAUCGGGGCAGGGUGAGUCGACCCCUAAGGCGAGGCCGAAAGGCGUAGUCGAUGGGAAACAGGUUAAUAUUCCUGUACUUGGUGUUACUGCGAAGGGGGGACGGAGAAGGCUAUGUUGGCCGGGCGACGGUUGUCCCGGUUUAAGCGUGUAGGCUGGUUUUCCAGGCAAAUCCGGAAAAUCAAGGCUGAGGCGUGAUGACGAGGCACUACGGUGCUGAAGCAACAAAUGCCCUGCUUCCAGGAAAAGCCUCUAAGCAUCAGGUAACAUCAAAUCGUACCCCAAACCGACACAGGUGGUCAGGUAGAGAAUACCAAGGCGCUUGAGAGAACUCGGGUGAAGGAACUAGGCAAAAUGGUGCCGUAACUUCGGGAGAAGGCACGCUGAUAUGUAGGUGAAGUCCCUUGCGGAUGGAGCUGAAAUCAGUCGAAGAUACCAGCUGGCUGCAACUGUUUAUUAAAAACACAGCACUGUGCAAACACGAAAGUGGACGUAUACGGUGUGACGCCUGCCCGGUGCCGGAAGGUUAAUUGAUGGGGUCAGCGCAAGCGAAGCUCUUGAUCGAAGCCCCGGUAAACGGCGGCCGUAACUAUAACGGUCCUAAGGUAGCGAAAUUCCUUGUCGGGUAAGUUCCGACCUGCACGAAUGGCGUAAUGAUGGCCAGGCUGUCUCCACCCGAGACUCAGUGAAAUUGAACUCGCUGUGAAGAUGCAGUGUACCCGCGGCAAGACGGAAAGACCCCGUGAACCUUUACUAUAGCUUGACACUGAACAUUGAGCCUUGAUGUGUAGGAUAGGUGGGAGGCUUUGAAGUGUGGACGCCAGUCUGCAUGGAGCCGACCUUGAAAUACCACCCUUUAAUGUUUGAUGUUCUAACGUUGACCCGUGAUCCGGGUUGCGGACAGUGUCUGGUGGGUAGUUUGACUGGGGCGGUCUCCUCCUAAAGAGUAACGGAGGAGCACGAAGGUUGGCUAAUCCUGGUCGGACAUCAGGAGGUUAGUGCAAUGGCAUAAGCCAGCUUGACUGCGAGCGUGACGGCGCGAGCAGGUGCGAAAGCAGGUCAUAGUGAUCCGGUGGUUCUGAAUGGAAGGGCCAUCGCUCAACGGAUAAAAGGUACUCCGGGGAUAACAGGCUGAUACCGCCCAAGAGUUCAUAUCGACGGCGGUGUUUGGCACCUCGAUGUCGGCUCAUCACAUCCUGGGGCUGAAGUAGGUCCCAAGGGUAUGGCUGUUCGCCAUUUAAAGUGGUACGCGAGCUGGGUUUAGAACGUCGUGAGACAGUUCGGUCCCUAUCUGCCGUGGGCGCUGGAGAAUUGAGGGGGGCUGCUCCUAGUACGAGAGGACCGGAGUGGACGCAUCACUGGUGUUCGGGUUGUCAUGCCAAUGGCACUGCCCGGUAGCUAAAUGCGGAAGAGAUAAGUGCUGAAAGCAUCUAAGCACGAAACUUGCCCCGAGAUGAGUUCUCCCUGACUCCUUGAGAGUCCUGAAGGAACGUUGAAGACGACGACGUUGAUAGGCCGGGUGUGUAAGCGCAGCGAUGCGUUGAGCUAACCGGUACUAAUGAACCGUGAGGCUUAACCUUACAACGCCGAAG
RNAcentral lists this ribosomal RNA (2925 nucleotides) under Escherichia coli. RNAcentral's name for it is "23S ribosomal RNA". It matches the Rfam family "Bacterial large subunit ribosomal RNA". Lineage: Bacteria; Pseudomonadati; Pseudomonadota; Gammaproteobacteria; Enterobacterales; Enterobacteriaceae. The record is from RNAcentral.